CGUAGCCAUUUUGAAAAAAUCGAUGUGCAGGCGAACGCUUAAGAAAAAAAUCCAUUAUACCGCGUAACUGAAUCGAAUUAUCAUUUCAAUCGGUCCAUUUAAUUCUGGAACACAUCAAAUCUGUUGGUAAACAUAAAAGGACACGGAUUAGAAGACCCCGCUUGAAAUUUUUAUACAAACACCAAAAUCAUCAUCAAGUUAAAUGUUCCGCGGUUCAUCCUAAUCAGUCACAUAAAACGAAAGCUGAAAAAGCAUAUUCUUCUCACUAUCUAGAAGCGGUCCUCACUCAAUAAUCCGGUUUUUUUAUCAUUUCGGUGCGAAACGCGAGAUACGGUGACGACCGUUUUUUCACCAUCCGGAAGGAGUUGGAACCGACUGGACUACUCGAGAAACAACACCCGCCGGUCACCAAUAAAUUAUUCAACCCCCCGUAAACGAACAGCACUAGUGUUGCGACACAGGUAUUUUGGCCAUUUGCUGAAGCUACGGUUUAACAAAAUGCCACCCAGGCAUGGGAUCACCACUUCCGGAGUUGUUCGGCACCGACGUUAGGUGAUCGUGGGGGAAAAAUCACUU
This is a long non-coding RNA of Uranotaenia lowii, 576 nucleotides long. RefSeq lists it as uncharacterized. Lineage: Eukaryota; Metazoa; Arthropoda; Insecta; Diptera; Culicidae. The record is from RefSeq and is a predicted model, not a curated record. The transcript is spliced from 3 exons.